UGGGGAAUUUUCCGCAAUGGGCGAAAGCCUGACGGAGCAAUGCCGCGUGGAGGUGGAAGGCCUACGGGUCGUCAACUUCUUUUCUCGGAGAAGAAACAAUGACGGUAUCUGAGGAAUAAGCAUCGGCUAACUUUGUGCCAG
This 141-nucleotide ribosomal RNA is filed under the name uncultured bacterium. Its description in RNAcentral is "partial 16S rRNA". It matches the Rfam family "Bacterial small subunit ribosomal RNA", at positions 355 to 511 of the family's 1533-position model. The record is from RNAcentral.